This 1446-nucleotide long non-coding RNA is filed under the name Sus scrofa (pig). RNAcentral describes it as "lncRNA (ENSSSCG00070006275.1)". The record is from RNAcentral. Lineage: Eukaryota; Metazoa; Chordata; Mammalia; Artiodactyla; Suidae.
GGAGGCCUGGGUGUGCAUGGGUGUGGCACGCAAAGGAGAGGGUCCCAUGGGGCCCGGCGGGCCUUCCGGUGCUGGCGGCGGGGCUGUGGCGUGUGCCUUGCGUGGGGCCCGAGCGCCCAACUGGUGGCAGGCUCCGGGCGCCCGGCGGCAGGCGGUCUGUGCGGGUUGCGUUGUGUCCGGUGGACAGGCGGCAGCCGUGGGGCGGGGUUUGGGGCAGGCAGGCCUCCGGUGUCCCCAGAGUGCCCCGGGGAGACCUGCCUGAGGGACCCAGGUCCCGCGCGCCAGGGGCCUGGUGUGGCGGGCCUGGAGGGUGAAGGGCGAGCGACCCGAGCCCACAGCCUGGCGGCAGGGGACGCCCCUGGCCAUUGGCGGUCAGGGCGAGGUGCGGCCCUGCGGGGUCUCGCACAGGCUCCAGGGCCCUUGGGGUCCCGGAGGGUCCAGCAGAAGGGUCUGUGUUUUGCCCGGGGUCCUGAGAGCGUGCUGGGGAUAGCAGAGGGUGUCUGUAGGUUGCGGGUGAGCAGCGGGGGCCUUGGCCUCGGCGGGACUGCCGACCCAGGUUCUGGUGGGGAGAGAGGAGGCCGGCCGGGGGGCCUUGCCGAGAUGGCCGUUUGGGCGGGGUCGGACGCCUUGGCCUGGGCCUUCACGGGGUCGGCGGGGCUGCCAGUGCCUUUCCCUCGCAGAGUCCUUGGUGGUCAUCGAGAACCCUGGAGCCCCUGCGGCAGUUCCCAGAGACGUGGAGGCGGUGGGGCGCCAGGUGGCCCUGGGCGGUGCCGAGUCGGCCGCGGACUGGGGUCGAGAGAAGUGCAGGAGGGCCAGAGGUCCUGGGCCAGUGUGCGCAGAGCACCGUGAGGGGGAGUGUUGGGUGCCCGGGGCGGCAGUGCCUUCAGGGCGGCCUGGGCUAUGAUGUGGGAUAUCCUCAGAGAUUUGGGCGGCGCGUGGAAGGCAGGACGGAGGGGUCCCCGGGCACGUGAAUGGGAGCUGGGUGCCUGUGCCCUGGCCGGUCAUGGGUGCCGGCGGGGCAGAGAAGUGUGAGCCCGCGGCCAGCUCCCGGGGCCGCUAAGGUGUCCACACACGGGCUGGGCAUUGAGGCCGUGCGGCGCCCCUGCCCUGGCUGAGGCCGUGUUCCGGGGAGGGAGGACAGGGAGUUGCGCAGUGGGAGGCAGUGUGAGGUUGAUACCCAGCAGAGCUAGCCACGCCUGCGGACUGGAGCCAAGCCGAGCUGGUUCCAGGCGGGAGCUGGUGGCAAGGAGGGAGUCUGCUGUGGAGGUAAGGGGGCAGGUGGCGGCGGAAGGGGCGUGAGUUUCGGUGCGAGGGUCCCGCUGGGCCAGGGUCUAGUGCGUCUCCCGUGGAGAUGCUGGUGCUGGAGUUAGGGAGGCCUGGGUGUGCAUGGUGUGGCACGCAAAGGAGAGGGUCCCAUGGGGCCCGGCGGGCCUUCCGGUGCUGGCG